This 497-nucleotide ribosomal RNA is filed under the name uncultured bacterium. RNAcentral's name for it is "partial 16S ribosomal RNA". It matches the Rfam family "Bacterial small subunit ribosomal RNA", at positions 28 to 507 of the family's 1533-position model. The record is from RNAcentral.
GAUGAACGCUGGCGGCGUGCCUAAUACAUGCAAGUCGAGCGAACAGACGAGGAGCUUGCUCCUCUGACGUUAGCGGCGGACGGGUGAGUAACACGUGGAUAACCUACCUAUAAGACUGGGAUAACUUCGGGACACCGGAGCUAAUACCGGAUAAUAUAUUGAACCGCAUGGUUCAAUAGUGAAAGACGGUUUUGCUGUCACUUAUAGAUGGAUCCGCGCCGCAUUAGCUAGUUGGUAAGGUAACGGCUUACCAAGGCAACGAUGCGUAGCCGACCUGAGAGAGGGAUCGGCCACACUGGAACUGGGACACGGUCCAGACGACUACGGGAGGCAGCAGUAGGGAAUCGGACGCAAUGGGCGAAAGCUUGACGGAGCAACGCCGCGUGAGUGAUGAAGGUCUUCGGAUCGUAAAACUCUGUUAUUAGGGAAGAACAAAUGUGUAAGUAACUAUGCACGUCUUGACGGUACCUAAUCAGAAAGCCACGGCUAACUACGUG